GUAGCCUGUCCCUUCUCCAGCAAAUCUUCCUGGCCCAGGAAUCAAACCAGGGUUUCCUGCAUUGCAGGCAGACUCUUUACCAACUGAGCUAUGAGGGAAGCCCCUCUUUUCCCUUACCCCCUAUAACUGGUCCCAUUCAAGCCAAGGAGAGUGGCCCAACUGCCUACUCUAAAAGCCCCUCUCUUUGGGGUUUAUGGGACAGUCUUAUAUCAAGCAUCUUCUCUUAAUCAUGGGGUCUCUUUUACAACGUGAUCAGACCUUACAAUAUCCCUGUCUAGUAGGUCAUUUUCAUCCAGGCCUUCGAAAGCCUAAAGCACUUGCCCAUGAUCAGACACAGCUAGGGAGGUGACAGCAGCUUUGAGCUGACCAGUCCUAGAAGAGAAGGGGCAGGACCUGUCUUGGCUCCUGAUGCUAGCUAAGUCAUUCCUAUGUCUGUCUCUAAUUCCCUAUGUGUCCCCCCAAAUCUUAAAUCCAGGAAAUACCAAACUUCCAAUAUAGACAACUUCCAAAGUCUGUUAUUCUGGAGAUGAACUUUGCUUACAAGAAAGACAUUUUUGCUGGGGCCAUCAUAGUUUGGAAUAAAAACGUUACAUUUGGAGUAGAGGACAUGUCCUCCAACCCUCCUUCACCAUUCUAAAUAGCUGCUCUGAUUUGGGGUUAACCACUUAAUUUCUUCGGGACUCAGUGACUUCUUUUGCAAGUUAUGGGAGCGGGUUAAAGCUUCUGGCGCUGCCCCUGAACCGGCUUCCGGAGAGAUCAAAGGAGAUUUGGGCUGUGGAAGGCUCCCUAGAGUCGGGGAUGGGGUAGGGGGUUGGGAGCAGAUGGAGCCAUGAUUAGCUGUGGAUUCCUUUCCCAGCCCUCACUCGUUUAAUCGUGUUUCUUUUGCUUGGCAGAGGGCGCCAAAGGCGACACGCCGGCGGCCAGCUCCAGGCCAAGCCCAGUCCGUCUGCAGGCCCCUUCACCCGGCGAAGGACACAAAGCUGCGGGAGGAGGAUCUUCUUCAGCGCGGACUCAGCACCAGGCCGCCGCCUAGAGGUCGGCGGCGGCCACAGCCCCAUCCGCCAGCGACCUCAGAGCUGCUUCCGCAGCCGACCCACAAAUUGGGAAUAACUUGGAAAUGGACGUGCUUUUGGAAAAACUGUUGAGGGUGAAAGGAAACAUUGCCUAAGUGGCCUUUACUCACUCAUACCAUCAACUAGUGUAUGAGAGACUUUCAGGAGGUUGCUUGUUGGCACCAGCUCCCCUGUUGCUGGGUAUCUGUGGUGAGCAUUUGAAAGUUGACUCUGGGGCCAGGUGACCUCGGGAUGAAAAAGGCUACCCAGCAUCUAUGGUUUCAGGUGCUGGAGGCCCCAUGCAGAGUUUAAUUUUUAAACUGAAAUCCACGGCCUGGGUUCCUGGGAUGGGGUAAAGGGAAACCAGAAAGCCCCCCGAAAAGUGUGUGCAAAAUUAGUGUGUGCUCAGGUAUGUCAUUCUAAGGCUGUAGUCUCUUCCGUUUUUCCAGAUUCCAGAGACUGAGGUCAGCAAUGGGCAGGAAGCCAGCACACUGACCCGUCUCUGCCCGCCCUCACCCCACAGCCUAGGAGGGCAGGGGUGGGCAACGGCACUCUAGAAUGCUGUGGAAACUGCCGCCCCUCUGGUCUGCUCUUCUUCUGUCACUAAUAACUCUCAGAGGCAAAUCCUGAUAGAAGGAAUGACUGUUUAGUGAAAAAAAAAAAAAAUGUACAGCAAGAUGAGGAGUGAAAAGAGGGAAAUGGGGCGCAUGCUGGAGGGGCACCCCAUGCAUAUCCUGGAAUAUGGAUGUUGGGAUAGAAACAAGUUACUUCCUGUCUUCCAGCUGUUAAUGAGCUCCCAGCUUCUUCCUCCUUGGUGAACGGGAAGGGGCCAGAGGGCAUUCCCCACCCCUUGCCAGCUAAAGCAGAGUGGGACUGCCUGAAGCAGAGUUGGCCUUUCAGAAAAUUUGGAAACUGUAAGCCACAGCCUCAUAUUUUUCCUGUCCAUACCACUUUUAAUCCAUUUUUUAAAAAUCCCCAGUAAUGCUUUGGGGCCUUUUCCUGGAGGGGUAGGUGGUGGAGUUCAUGAGUCAUGCAGGGUCAUACCUGUGUGUCUGUGCGAGAAGGUGAGCAUCAGUGCACCAGACCCCCACCU
Bos indicus x Bos taurus (hybrid cattle) is the source of this 2145-nucleotide long non-coding RNA. The record is from Ensembl. NCBI's taxonomy places the organism in Eukaryota, Metazoa, Chordata, Mammalia, Artiodactyla, Bovidae.